UACGUAGGGUGCGAGCGUUAAUCGGAAUUACUGGGCGUAAAGCGUGCGCAGGCGGUUCGUUAAGUCUGAUGUGAAAGCCCCGGGCUCAACCUGGGAAUGGCAUUGGAUACUGGCGGGCUGGAGUGUGGCAGAGGGGGGUGGAAUUCCGCGUGUAGCAGUGAAAUGCGUAGAGAUGCGGAGGAACACCCGUGGCGAAGGCGGCCAUCUGGACCAGUACUGACGCUGAGGCACGAAAGCGUGGGGAGCAAAC
Molecule: ribosomal RNA, 250 nt
Filed under: uncultured bacterium
Lineage: Bacteria
Description: partial 16S ribosomal RNA
Rfam family: Bacterial small subunit ribosomal RNA
Source: RNAcentral